UGGGGAAUCUUGCGCAAUGGGCGAAAGCCUGACGCAGCAACGCCGCGUGGGGGAUGAAGGCUUUCGGGUUGUAAACCCCUUUCAGCAGGGACGAAUCAAGACGGUACCUGCAGAAGAAGCCCCGGCUAACUACGUGCCAGCAGCCGCGGUAACACGUAGGGGGCAAGCGUUGUCCGGAUUUAUUGGGCGUAAAGAGCUCGUAGGCGGCUCGAUAAGUCGGGUGUCAAAUCCUCAGGCUCAACCUGGGGCA
This 250-nucleotide ribosomal RNA is filed under the name uncultured bacterium. RNAcentral's name for it is "partial 16S ribosomal RNA". It matches the Rfam family "Bacterial small subunit ribosomal RNA", at positions 355 to 621 of the family's 1533-position model. The record is from RNAcentral.